Long non-coding RNA from Haliotis rufescens (red abalone), 2423 nucleotides. RefSeq lists it as uncharacterized. The record is from RefSeq and is a predicted model, not a curated record. Lineage: Eukaryota; Metazoa; Mollusca; Gastropoda; Lepetellida; Haliotidae. The transcript has 6 exons.
UGAUAGACAAUAUAUUCAAAGUGGUGAUCUCAUAACAGGUUCCUGUGGUCUCCUGAUGCUGGCUUGGGUGGUCAAGACAAGAUUACUGAUAUGCAGUUCACAGAAACUCUGCUGUUGCUAUCGCUCUCUGUUGGAACGGGCUGUUGCUCUCUUGACUCUCGGAACUUCACAGUGACCCGGUAUGAGCAGCACAUUGAUUCUCCGGGAUAUCCUCAUCACACAUGGAGAUCAGAGCGGAAGGUGCUUACCUUCACUGCCUUGGAUGAUGACAGCCACAUGGCAUUUUAUAUUACUGGCGACUUUGGACAACAGGGCGACUGCUCUGGAACUCAAAAUGCUGCAGCGAUAACAUUCAAGAAGUAACUGGCCGAGGGGAAGAAGGCAAGCCGAUCUGUGGUACAGGAGACUACAUGUAUGAGAGUCAUGGUUCUUGUGUUGUCACUGCAGUCAUAGCUGAAGGGAUGGAGGAGAAAUUCCGUAUAACAUAUACACUAAAAUCUAACAGAUGCGUAGAGACGUUGUUUGCCUACCCAAAUGAAUCCAACAUUUCAUCGCCUGAUAUCGCCUGGAAUAUGAGGUACAAGACCAUUGUCCCAUAGAAAAUACAAUGCAAUACCUACAACACAAUGGUGUGUCAUGGAAUAUGUCAUACACCGUAUGAUAACCCAUCUCCUCUUUACAUCAAUGUUCUACCAAUCUUAGAAUUAGUAAAGUAGAAUUAUAUGUGUGAGCCAAAUCAUUAUUAUAAGAGCAUAACUACACUGGUGAGUGAGUGUGUUUGGUUUAACGCCGCUUUAAAUAAUAUUUCAUUCAUGUCACAGCAUGUAUGUAUGAUGUGGGAGGAAGCUCGAAGUGAUGUAGGUAUAACAUGUAGACGUUUUUCACUUUGAACCCACGAGCACGGGUAUGGUUUUGGCAAACCUGGAAACAAAACGGGGAGAAUAUGGUAUACUUACCACAAGCAAACCUAAGGUAUGCAACUAAGCAUAGCGAAUUGCGGCGCCUUUUACGACUGAGCUACCCUUGGCCCUGUGAUAACAAAACACAUUGUUGCAUUGCUCUUAUGAUGAAAAUAAAAAUAUCACAUUUUCGCCGGUACCAGGGAGUCUAUAUAUCUUUGUAUAGCCCCCCUUCUGGUACGAAGCAUUCUUGUAUGGAGAAAAUGUGUUCUCAUUGUUAUAUUUGUAAAGGAAUGCAGUAUUACUUUGAACAUAUUUGUUGAUUUCAUAAAGUGUAUUCCAUUGACCCAAUGUCUAUAUUUUUUAAUAUCAAAGCCGGUGUCAGUGGAAUAUCGUUGCGGGCUAUGGCUAUGUUUUCCAAGUCCGUGUGUUGCUGUCAAACAUAUCUUGUUAUGGAAACCAUGUUGAUGUUGAUUUUGGUAAGUAACUUCCAUGGUUUUUCGAUUGACUUCACGUUCCAACGAUCUGAAAACUGUAACAGUGUCCAUAGGUGAUUUCGAGUAAGAAUAUAGCCCUCAUGCAACAUAUGCUUGUCAGAAGCGACUACAUGGAGCCGGUUGUCAGGCUCGGAGAUUUAAUGGAUUGUGUGCCAUCGCAUCCCUGGAUUGUCUGGUCCAGACAUUUUUUCUGACCGCCGUCAUAUAGCUGAAAUAUGAUUGAGUGCGGCGUUAAAAAACAAACAAACUGUAACCGUGGUAACAUGAUGUUGAAAUCUUGUAGUAGAAUAUAUGUUUGAAGAACAAAUUAUUUAAAUUAUUGCAAUUUGCAAUUUUGUCAAUUACCCGUGAACAAAUAUAUAAUAUGGAAAUGAUCAUUUAAAGCUUUAAAUCUUCAAUAAUUUUCCCCAAGCAUUUCUAAGACAAACAUGAUCAUAAACAUAACUAUAAAUGAACUGGUGAAUUUUAUGGUAGAGUCUCCAGACUGAUUUCAUCUCGUAAUAUCUCGUUGAGUUUACACGACGUAACAGCAGCUAAAUACAUCAAUCACUCAUUUCAACUGAACAUUCAAGGCAACGGAUCAACGCAGUCCUGGUGUGGCCAACGAACGCCUUCCUAUACAUCCACCAACUCCAGGAUGAGCAUCCGUUUCAACAUGUCCAGCGUUUUUGGUGGCCAUGAUUUCACUCUUGCCUACAAGGGGAUACCUAACCACAACCGAACAACGAGUCAUUACUAGACCUCAAAGAGGCCAACAGGAGCCAUCUGGCCGCAGAGAAACACGCAGUUUGGGGCAACAGCGACACCCAAUGUGACAAGCCGACCAUGGACUACCAGGGAACCAUGGAAAUGGACGACCCGAAACCCAUGGCUGUUAAACCGACCAAGAACAACUAGUCAUUACUGGACCUCAAAGAGGCCAACAGGAGCCAUCUGGCCGCAGAGAAACACUCAGUUUGGGGCAACAGCGACACCCAAUGUGACAAGCCGACCAUGGACUACCAGGGAACCAUGGAAAUGGACGACC